GAUGAACGCUGGCGGCGUGCUUAACACAUGCAAGUCGAACGAUGAAGACCAGCUUGCUGAGUGGGUUAGUGGCGAACGGGUGAGUAACACGUGAGUAACCUGCCCUUAACUCUGGGAUAGGCCUGGGAAACUGGGUCUAAUACCGGAUAGGAGCGUCCACCGCAUGGUGGGUGUUGGAAAGAUUUAUCGGUUUUGGAUGGACUCGCGGGCUAUCAGCUUGUUGGUGAGGUAAUGGCUCACCAAGGCGAUGACGGGUAGCCGAGUUGAGAGGCUGACCGGCCACAUUGGGACUGAGACACGGACCAAACUCCUACGGGAGGCAGCAGUAGGGAAUCUUCCACAAAGGACGCAAGUCUGAUGGAGCAACGCCGCGUGAGUGAAGAAGGUUUUCGGAUCGUAAAGCUCUGUUGUUGGUGAAGAAGGAUAGAGGUAGUAACUGGCCUUUAUUUGACGGUAAUCAACCAGAAAGUCACGGCUAACUACGUG
Molecule: ribosomal RNA, 486 nt
Filed under: uncultured bacterium
Lineage: Bacteria
Description: partial 16S ribosomal RNA
Rfam family: Bacterial small subunit ribosomal RNA
Source: RNAcentral